Molecule: ribosomal RNA, 460 nt
Filed under: uncultured bacterium
Lineage: Bacteria
Description: partial 16S ribosomal RNA
Rfam family: Bacterial small subunit ribosomal RNA
Source: RNAcentral
CCUACGUGAGGCAGCAGUGAGGAAUAUUGGUCAAUGGACGAGAGUCUGAACCAGCCAAGUAGCGUGAAGGAUGACUGACCUAUGGGUUGUACACUUCUUUUAUAAAGGAAUAAAACGAGGCACGUGUGCCUUUUUGCAUGUACUUUAUGAAUAAUGAUCGGCUAACUCCUUGCCAGCAGCCGCGGUAAUACGGAGGUACAGAGCGUUAUCUGGAUUUAUUGGGUUUAAAGGGAGCGUAGAUGGGUACGUAAGUCAGUUGUGAAAGGUGGCGGCUCAACCGUAAAAUUGCAAUUGAUACUGGCAGGCUGGAGUACAGUAGAGGUAGGCGGAAUUCGUGGUGUAGCGGUGAAAUGCUUAGAUAUCACGAAGAACCCCGAUUGCGAAGGCAGCUUACUAAACUGUGACUGACAUUGAGGCUCGAAAGUGUGGGUAUCAAACAGGAUUAGAUACCCGUGUAGUC